RNAcentral lists this ribosomal RNA (329 nucleotides) under uncultured eukaryote. RNAcentral describes it as "partial 18S ribosomal RNA". It matches the Rfam family "Eukaryotic small subunit ribosomal RNA", at positions 1470 to 1796 of the family's 1831-position model. The record is from RNAcentral.
CCCUUAGAUGUUCUGGGUCGCACGCGCGCUACACUGAUGCAUUCAUCGAGUUUACAACCUUGAUCGAUAGGUCUGGGUAAUCUUUUAAAUGUGCAUCGUGCUAGGGAUAGAUUAUUGCAAUUAUUAAUCUUGAACGAGGAAUUCCUAGUAAACGCAAGUCAUCAGCUUGCAUUGAUUACGUCCCUGCCCUUUGUACACACCGCCCGUCGCACCUACUGAUUGGAUGACUCGGUGAAAAAUUGGGACUGUGAAGAACACUGCUUAAUUGCGGCGUUUUUUAUGGGAACUUUUUUAAACCUCGUUAUCUAGAAGAAGGUGAANUCGUANCA